GAUAACAAUACUACGUACAUAUGGCCCAAUGAGAGAAAACAGAGAAGAAGGCCCUAUCUUCAUCUUCUUCUUCUGUGUUGUAUUCUCCUCAUCUUCUUUCUCUCAUCCUCUUCUCUCUCUUCCAUCACUAUCUCAGAAACCUCUCCAGCACCACCACCAAACAACGUCGUUCUAGCCGCCGCAAUCUCAAAUUUGAUCAAAUUUGUUUGGUCAAAUCUCAAACUUCUAACUGUUUUCAUGGUUAAAACCCUAAGCCCUAAUCCUUCAACAUUAGAACAGACGUAGGGAACGGUUAUGGCAUCGCACCUCCAAUCUCCGACCAACCCUUUCUUCUUAGGCUCUAACGGCGAUCAUUUCUAACACACCCAGGCACGCGCCACUACCACUACUGCUGCCACUCCUCAUUUGCCUCUCGAUCCUUAUCCCGACAAACAUCAAAUUCUUGAGUUGUUCCACAACCACAUUAAACUUGCCAAAUCUGCGAUUCUCGGUUUGAUAGAUCUAUUUUAGAUCUCAAAUCGCAAAUCUCAUAUCUGUUUCAGAUUCUCGAUUUGUUCCACAACUGCAUUAACUGAGCCAGAUCUGACUCCAAAAGCAAGCAAACCCCUCACUCUCUCUCUCUCUCUUUCUUCCCUUAAACACCAAAGUCCACACACAAAUUCUCUAAUCAUUGGUUCAUUCUCUCUCUCUAAAAUCUCUAUAUUUGUAUUAAUAAUGGUUGAGACCAUUAAUUUUGAAACUCUAAAAAGACCACUAAUGACAUGGCACUCAAUAAAAAAAGAAAAAAAAUAUAACACCAAGGCCAAAACAUCACAUUAUUCAUGAUCAAUUGAUCAUCGAAGAUAUUUGGGAAAGCAUCGAAGAACACAAAGUACUAUGAAAUUAUUGGUUUUUUAAAUUUUUUGGUGCAGUUUGGUUGAUGAGAAAACCUCGAAAUGGAGAAGAAAAUGAGAUUGUGAAUCUUUAAAUUUGUACAGAUAAAGUUCUGGUUGUUGUUGACCUUUAUAUAUUAUUUUUCUUUUUCCAAUUUUAGGUUAGGCUUUGGACAAAGAUUAUUUUUGUGUU
This is a non-coding RNA of Camellia sinensis, 1065 nucleotides long. The record is from RefSeq and is a predicted model, not a curated record. NCBI's taxonomy places the organism in Eukaryota, Viridiplantae, Streptophyta, Magnoliopsida, Ericales, Theaceae.